UUAGUUCAGUCGGUAGAACGCCGGACUGUUAAUCCGUAUGUCGCUGGUUCAAGUCCAGCA
Molecule: transfer RNA, 60 nt
Filed under: Candidatus Oceanisphaera merdipullorum
Lineage: Bacteria; Pseudomonadati; Pseudomonadota; Gammaproteobacteria; Aeromonadales; Aeromonadaceae
Rfam family: tRNA
About the family: Transfer RNA (tRNA) molecules are approximately 80 nucleotides in length. Their secondary structure includes four short double-helical elements and three loops (D, anti-codon, and T loops). Further hydrogen bonds mediate the characteristic L-shaped molecular structure. tRNAs have two regions of fundamental functional importance: the anti-codon, which is responsible for specific mRNA codon recognition, and the 3' end, to which the tRNAs corresponding amino acid is attached (by aminoacyl-tRNA synthetases). tRNAs cope with the degeneracy of the genetic code in two manners: having more than one tRNA (with a specific anti-codon) for a particular amino acid; and 'wobble' base-pairing, i.e. permitting non-standard base-pairing at the 3rd anti-codon position.
Source: RNAcentral